UACGAAGGGGGCUAGCGUUGCUCGGAAUCACUGGGCGUAAAGCGCACGUAGGCGGAUCUUUAAGUCAGGGGUGAAAUCCUGGAGCUCAACUCCAGAACUGCCUUUGAUACUGGGGAUCUCGAGUCCGGGAGAGGUGAGUGGAACUCCGAGUGCAGAGGUGAAAUUCGUAGAUAUUCGGAAGAACACCAGUGGCGAAGGCGGCUCACUGGCCCGGUACUGACGCUGAGGUGCGAAAGCGUGGGGAGCAAACAGG
This 253-nucleotide ribosomal RNA is filed under the name uncultured bacterium. RNAcentral describes it as "partial 16S ribosomal RNA". It matches the Rfam family "Bacterial small subunit ribosomal RNA", at positions 524 to 776 of the family's 1533-position model. The record is from RNAcentral.